UAGGGAAUCUUCGGCAAUGGGGGCAACCCUGACCGAGCAACGCCGCGUGAGUGAAGAAGGUUUUCGGAUCGUAAAGCUCUGUUGUAAGAGAAGAACGAGUGUGAGAGUGGAAAGUUCACACUGUGACGGUAACUUACCAGAAAGGGACGGCUAACUACGUGCCAGCAGCCGCGGUAAUACGUAGGUCCCGAGCGUUAUCCGGAUUUAUUGGGCGUAAAGCGAGCGCAGGCGGUUAGAUAAGUCUGAAGUUAAAGGCUGUGGCUUAACCAUAGUACGCUUUGGAAACUGUUUAACUUGAGUGCAGAAGGGGAGAGUGGAAUUCCAUGUGUAGCGGUGAAAUGCGUAGAUAUAUGGAGGAACACCGGUGGCGAAAGCGGCUCUCUGGUCUGUAACUGACGCUGAGGCUCGAAAGCGUGGGGAGCAAACAGGAUUAGGUACCCUGGUAGUCCACGCCGUAAACGAUGAGUGCUAGGUGUUGGGUCCUUUCCGGGACUCAGUGCCGCAGCUAACGCAUUAAGCACUCCGCCUGGGGAGUACGACCGCAAGGUUG
RNAcentral lists this ribosomal RNA (550 nucleotides) under uncultured bacterium. RNAcentral's name for it is "bacterial SSU rRNA". It matches the Rfam family "Bacterial small subunit ribosomal RNA", at positions 355 to 896 of the family's 1533-position model. The record is from RNAcentral.